RNAcentral lists this microRNA precursor (202 nucleotides) under Medicago truncatula (barrel medic). Its description in RNAcentral is "MIR2670 microRNA precursor family". It matches the Rfam family "MIR2670 microRNA precursor family". Lineage: Eukaryota; Viridiplantae; Streptophyta; Magnoliopsida; Fabales; Fabaceae. The record is from Rfam by way of RNAcentral.
UUUGAGUUAAAUGGUGAGUAGCCAACUUGGAGGAAGUGAUCAACCCUUGUGAUAAAUUUAAAUUCGCUUCUUUUUACCCCCAAAAACUUUUUACCGUGGGUAAAAAGAAUCUUCUUGGGAUAUAAAAAGAACCAUAUUUAAAUUUAGCCCAAUGGUUGAUGAUGUAUUUUCUCUAAGAAGGCUGCUCACUAUUUAUCCCAAG